This 680-nucleotide ribosomal RNA is filed under the name Escherichia coli. Its description in RNAcentral is "partial 23S ribosomal RNA". It matches the Rfam family "Bacterial large subunit ribosomal RNA", at positions 419 to 1099 of the family's 2925-position model. The record is from RNAcentral. Lineage: Bacteria; Pseudomonadati; Pseudomonadota; Gammaproteobacteria; Enterobacterales; Enterobacteriaceae.
GGGACACGUGGUAUCCUGUCUGAAUAUGGGGGGACCAUCCUCCAAGGCUAAAUACUCCUGACUGACCGAUAGUGAACCAGUACCGUGAGGGAAAGGCGAAAAGAACCCCGGCGAGGGGAGUGAAAAAGAACCUGAAACCGUGUACGUACAAGCAGUGGGAGCACGCUUAGGCGUGUGACUGCGUACCUUUUGUAUAAUGGGUCAGCGACUUAUAUUCUGUAGCAAGGUUAACCGAAUAGGGGAGCCGAAGGGAAACCGAGUCUUAACUGGGCGUUAAGUUGCAGGGUAUAGACCCGAAACCCGGUGAUCUAGCCAUGGGCAGGUUGAAGGUUGGGUAACACUAACUGGAGGACCGAACCGACUAAUGUUGAAAAAUUAGCGGAUGACUUGUGGCUGGGGGUGAAAGGCCAAUCAAACCGGGAGAUAGCUGGUUCUCCCCGAAAGCUAUUUAGGUAGCGCCUCGUGAAUUCAUCUCCGGGGGUAGAGCACUGUUUCGGCAAGGGGGUCAUCCCGACUUACCAACCCGAUGCAAACUGCGAAUACCGGAGAAUGUUAUCACGGGAGACACACGGCGGGUGCUAACGUCCGUCGUGAAGAGGGAAACAACCCAGACCGCCAGCUAAGGUCCCAAAGUCAUGGUUAAGUGGGAAACGAUGUGGGAAGGCCCAGACAGCCAGGAU